AAAGUUUCACUAUUACAUCUGCGCAUGUACCAGAGCCCUUCUAUAAGGGGAAGAGAGAGACAGACAUUGUCAAAUCUUUUCUGCUUCACUGAACUAUCCAUCUGCUCCACCCCCGGCAAACAUUACUCAGCCUGAACCCCUAAGGAGUUUUGCCCGUCUGUGAUAAAUCCUCCAACUGGAGAUUUGGUUGCAUCACAGACCCCAGCACCGAUCUACUGUUUCCCCAUCACCAUGGAGGCUUCUCUUGCCAUCUGCAUCCUCGCUGCUCUCCUGGCUACGGGGGCCGGUCUGCGGUGUGAGGUUUGCGAUGGAUCAGGAAACAGCUGCACGGGCGAUCUAGAUACCUGCCGAAAUAGGGAAGACUCUUGUGGCAUCACUCUGACAGAAGACACAGCGGGUAGG
Molecule: non-coding RNA, 402 nt
Organism: Chrysemys picta bellii (western painted turtle)
Lineage: Eukaryota; Metazoa; Chordata; Testudines; Emydidae
Source: RefSeq, a predicted model, not a curated record